Molecule: non-coding RNA, 631 nt
Organism: Taeniopygia guttata (zebra finch)
Lineage: Eukaryota; Metazoa; Chordata; Aves; Passeriformes; Estrildidae
Source: RefSeq, a predicted model, not a curated record
CCCGAGCCGCGUGACGGGCGGGCGGGGCCCGGGGCGCCGUGAGGGGCCGGGGUCGUGUCCCCGUCCUUGUGCCGCUGUCCCUGUUCUUCUCCCGGCCCUUCCCUUCUCCCGGCCCUUCCUCCCCUCACGGACACAUCGCCGCCUCCCCCCCGAGCCUCCGGCACCGCGGCCAGCGCUCUGCAGCUCCCGGCGUGCCCGGCUCCCCUCGGCGGCCGCCCCGCGGUGCUCGGGACCCGCCUCUGCCCGUGCGUGCUCGGGGACCCCGCUGCGAUGCUCCGGGGCGGUGAUCACCGUGUGCGCCUUGGCAGAAGGAGCCCUGGAAAGUGACACAAAAUCUCCUGCGCUGCUGCUAUCACACCCUGCUCCAGUGGUGAAGCACGUGGCGUCUGUGGCAUCCCAAGUUCUCCCGAGCCCUGCUCAGCCAUGCCCUGAGUCUGUUCCCGUCACUUGUCUCCGGUUCUGUGGGGCCUGAUGGUCACAAUCCCCGGUCUUCAUGGUUUUGGUUGUGCCAGUGCAGUUUUAUUGAUUUGAGUGCACUUUGGACUUUGAUCAGUUGCUUGUUUUAGGCAGUUCAUUUAGCAAGGCACCUAAUAACAGAUGAUAGAAUUAUAGAGUUGGAAGGGCCUGACAA